GCGGGGGUAGCCGAGCCUGGUCAAAGGCGGCAGGCUCAAGACCUGCUCCCGAAGGGGUUCGUGGGUUCAAAUCCCACCCCCCGCACCA
RNAcentral lists this transfer RNA (88 nucleotides) under Candidatus Pelearchaeum maunauluense. Its description in RNAcentral is "tRNA-Leu". It matches the Rfam family "tRNA". Rfam says of the family: Transfer RNA (tRNA) molecules are approximately 80 nucleotides in length. Their secondary structure includes four short double-helical elements and three loops (D, anti-codon, and T loops). Further hydrogen bonds mediate the characteristic L-shaped molecular structure. tRNAs have two regions of fundamental functional importance: the anti-codon, which is responsible for specific mRNA codon recognition, and the 3' end, to which the tRNAs corresponding amino acid is attached (by aminoacyl-tRNA synthetases). tRNAs cope with the degeneracy of the genetic code in two manners: having more than one tRNA (with a specific anti-codon) for a particular amino acid; and 'wobble' base-pairing, i.e. permitting non-standard base-pairing at the 3rd anti-codon position. The record is from RNAcentral. Lineage: Archaea; Thermoproteati; Nitrososphaerota; Candidatus Caldarchaeales; Candidatus Calditenuaceae.